Nyctereutes procyonoides (raccoon dog) is the source of this 901-nucleotide long non-coding RNA. RefSeq lists it as uncharacterized. The record is from RefSeq and is a predicted model, not a curated record. Lineage: Eukaryota; Metazoa; Chordata; Mammalia; Carnivora; Canidae. The transcript has 4 exons.
CUGCAUAACUUAAGUGUUCUCUCAUUGAACUGGACAGACCUGAGAGACAUUUUCAGUACAGUGCUCACCGAAACAGAAGUUGAGGAGAGAAGAGGGAGGAUAAGAAAGAACUAUGGGAAGAGCAGAAGAAUCUAAUUCAGAUGAAAAACCACAGAGGGAAAAUUACAUCAUCUCAUCCCUGCAUUUUUCCCAAGGUCGCUGAGGUCCGUGUUUGUGCUUGAGAAAUGGAUUUCACUAUCAGUUGUGGCUGAAAACUUCCCAAAUUUGAUGGAAGACAUGCAUAUAAAUAUCCAAGAAGCUCAACAAACUCUAAGUGGACUGAAGGAGAGCCACACUAAGACACAUUAAAACCAAACUUUCUGAAACCGAAGACAAAGAGAAAAUCUUGACAGCGUCAAGAGAAGCAAAUCAUCACAUACAAAGGAUCCUCAAUUAGAUUACCAGCAUAUUCUCAUCAGAAACUUUGGAGACCAGAAGACAGAGGGCCAAUAUAUUCAAGGUGUUAAAAUAAAGAAACUGUCUACCAAGAAUCCUAUAUCCAGAAAAUCUAUUCUUCAGAAAUGAGGGAGAAAUUAAGACAUUCCCAGAUAAACAAAAGCUGAGGGGGUUUGUCACCACCAGACUUGCUAUACAAGAAAUGCUUGAGGGAGUUUUACAAGGUGAAAUGAAAGGAUGCUAGACAGUAACUCAAAAUCAUAUGAAGAAAUAAAGAUCUCAAUAAAGAUUGAAGGUUUGUGACAACCUUGCAUCAAGCAGGUUUAUCAGUGUCAUACUUCCAACAUUUGCUUACUUCCUGGCUCUGUGUCACAUUUUGCAGGCAGUUCUGGAAGAAACCAUAGCAUCAGUUUGCUGGCCACAUCUUAUGGGUACUGUUGUGAAGCUGUUGGAAACAAGGCCUGUG